GGGUUGUGAGGUUAAGCGACUAAGCGUACACGGUGGAUGCCCUGGCAGUCAGAGGCGAUGAAGGACGUGCUAAUCUGCGAUAAGCGUCGGUAAGGUGAUAUGAACCGUUAUAACCGGCGAUUUCCGAAUGGGGAAACCCAGUGUGAUUCGUCACACUAUCAUUAACUGAAUCCAUAGGUUAAUGAGGCGAACCGGGGGAACUGAAACAUCUAAGUACCCCGAGGAAAAGAAAUCAACCGAGAUUCCCCCAGUAGCGGCGAGCGAACGGGGAGCAGCCCAGAGCCUGAAUCAGUGUGUGUGUUAGUGGAAGCGUCUGGAAAGGCGUGCGAUACAGGGUGACAGCCCCGUACACAAAAAUGCACAUGCUGUGAGCUCGAUGAGUAGGGCGGGACACGUGGUAUCCUGUCUGAAUAUGGGGGGACCAUCCUCCAAGGCUAAAUACUCCUGACUGACCGAUAGUGAACCAGUACCGUGAGGGAAAGGCGAAAAGAACCCCGGCGAGGGGAGUGAAAAAGAACCUGAAACCGUGUACGUACAAGCAGUGGGAGCACGCUUAGGCGUGUGACUGCGUACCUUUUGUAUAAUGGGUCAGCGACUUAUAUUCUGUAGCAAGGUUAACCGAAUAGGGGAGCCGAAGGGAAACCGAGUCUUAACUGGGCGUUAAGUUGCAGGGUAUAGACCCGAAACCCGGUGAUCUAGCCAUGGGCAGGUUGAAGGUUGGGUAACACUAACUGGAGGACCGAACCGACUAAUGUUGAAAAAUUAGCGGAUGACUUGUGGCUGGGGGUGAAAGGCCAAUCAAACCGGGAGAUAGCUGGUUCUCCCCGAAAGCUAUUUAGGUAGCGCCUCGUGAAUUCAUCUCCGGGGGUAGAGCACUGUUUCGGCAAGGGGGUCAUCCCGACUUACCAACCCGAUGCAAACUGCGAAUACCGGAGAAUGUUAUCACGGGAGACACACGGCGGGUGCUAACGUCCGUCGUGAAGAGGGAAACAACCCAGACCGCCAGCUAAGGUCCCAAAGUCAUGGUUAAGUGGGAAACGAUGUGGGAAGGCCCAGACAGCCAGGAUGUUGGCUUAGAAGCAGCCAUCAUUUAAAGAAAGCGUAAUAGCUCACUGGUCGAGUCGGCCUGCGCGGAAGAUGUAACGGGGCUAAACCAUGCACCGAAGCUGCGGCAGCGACGCUUAUGCGUUGUUGGGUAGGGGAGCGUUCUGUAAGCCUGCGAAGGUGUGCUGUGAGGCAUGCUGGAGGUAUCAGAAGUGCGAAUGCUGACAUAAGUAACGAUAAAGCGGGUGAAAAGCCCGCUCGCCGGAAGACCAAGGGUUCCUGUCCAACGUUAAUCGGGGCAGGGUGAGUCGACCCCUAAGGCGAGGCCGAAAGGCGUAGUCGAUGGGAAACAGGUUAAUAUUCCUGUACUUGGUGUUACUGCGAAGGGGGGACGGAGAAGGCUAUGUUGGCCGGGCGACGGUUGUCCCGGUUUAAGCGUGUAGGCUGGUUUUCCAGGCAAAUCCGGAAAACUAAGGCUGAGGCGUGAUGACGAGGCACUACGGUGCUGAAGCAACAAAUGCCCUGCUUCCAGGAAAAGCCUCUAAGCAUCAGGUAACAUCAAAUCGUACCCCAAACCGACACAGGUGGUCAGGUAGAGAAUACCAAGGCGCUUGAGAGAACUCGGGUGAAGGAACUAGGCAAAAUGGUGCCGUAACUUCGGGAGAAGGCACGCUGAUAUGUAGGUGAAGUCCCUCGCGGAUGGAGCUGAAAUCAGUCGAAGAUACCAGCUGGCUGCAACUGUUUAUUAAAAACACAGCACUGUGCAAACACGAAAGUGGACGUAUACGGUGUGACGCCUGCCCGGUGCCGGAAGGUUAAUUGAUGGGGUUAGCGCAAGCGAAGCUCUUGAUCGAAGCCCCGGUAAACGGCGGCCGUAACUAUAACGGUCCUAAGGUAGCGAAAUUCCUUGUCGGGUAAGUUCCGACCUGCACGAAUGGCGUAAUGAUGGCCAGGCUGUCUCCACCCGAGACUCAGUGAAAUUGAACUCGCUGUGAAGAUGCAGUGUACCCGCGGCAAGACGGAAAGACCCCGUGAACCUUUACUAUAGCUUGACACUGAACAUUGAGCCUUGAUGUGUAGGAUAGGUGGGAGGCUUGGAAGUGUGGACGCCAGUCUGCAUGGAGCCGACCUUGAAAUACCACCCUUUAAUGUUUGAUGUUCUAACGUUGACCCGUAAUCCGGGUUGCGGACAGUGUCUGGUGGGUAGUUUGACUGGGGCGGUCUCCUCCUAAAGAGUAACGGAGGAGCACGAAGGUUGGCUAAUCCUGGUCGGACAUCAGGAGGUUAGUGCAAUGGCAUAAGCCAGCUUGACUGCGAGCGUGACGGCGCGAGCAGGUGCGAAAGCAGGUCAUAGUGAUCCGGUGGUUCUGAAUGGAAGGGCCAUCGCUCAACGGAUAAAAGGUACUCCGGGGAUAACAGGCUGAUACCGCCCAAGAGUUCAUAUCGACGGCGGUGUUUGGCACCUCGAUGUCGGCUCAUCACAUCCUGGGGCUGAAGUAGGUCCCAAGGGUAUGGCUGUUCGCCAUUUAAAGUGGUACGCGAGCUGGGUUUAGAACGUCGUGAGACAGUUCGGUCCCUAUCUGCCGUGGGCGCUGGAGAACUGAGGGGGGCUGCUCCUAGUACGAGAGGACCGGAGUGGACGCAUCACUGGUGUUCGGGUUGUCAUGCCAAUGGCACUGCCCGGUAGCUAAAUGCGGAAGAGAUAAGUGCUGAAAGCAUCUAAGCACGAAACUUGCCCCGAGAUGAGUUCUCCCUGACUCCUUGAGAGUCCUGAAGGAACGUUGAAGACGACGACGUUGAUAGGCCGGGUGUGUAAGCGCAGCGAUGCGUUGAGCUAACCGGUACUAAUGAACCGUGAGGCUUAACCUUACAACGCCGAAGGUGUUU
This 2931-nucleotide ribosomal RNA is filed under the name Escherichia coli. Its description in RNAcentral is "23S ribosomal RNA". It matches the Rfam family "Bacterial large subunit ribosomal RNA". The record is from RNAcentral. Lineage: Bacteria; Pseudomonadati; Pseudomonadota; Gammaproteobacteria; Enterobacterales; Enterobacteriaceae.